UAAAGAUUUAUUUAUUAUAUAUAAACACACUGUAUCUGUCUUCAGUCACACCAGAAGAGGGCAUCAGAUCUCAUUACAAAUGGUUGUUAAGCCACCAUGUGGGUGCUGGGAUUUGAACUCAGGACCUCUAGAAGAGCAGUCAGUGCUCUUAAUUGCUGAGCCAUCUCUACAGCCCCAGAAUCUUACUAUUUGGCUGCCUCUGAACUCAUUAGCCUUCUGUCUUGCACUGUAAAGGCCUAGGACUACAUGCGCUAACAGUUAAGACUCUUGACCCUCCUGUCUCUAACUCCCCAGGGCUGAGCACACAGGAAGGUGCCUCCACAUUUGAAAACUAUUGUUACUUUAUAAGUGUUUUGCCUACAUCUAUACACCACAUGUAUGCUGUACCUGGUGCAUGCAGAAGCCAAAAGAGAGCAUUAAUGUCCUUAGAACUGGAGUUAAACAGUUGUUGAGUACUGGGAAGAAAAUUCAGGUCUCCUAAAGAAGAGCAAGUGCUUUUAACCUCUGAGACCUUUCUAGUCCCCAUAGUGACUACAUUUUAAGUCAUUAUUCACAGAACAGAAUUAUGUUUUACAUAAAGUAUGCCCAUGUUCAUAUCCUCUUUCUUUUUUACUUAUUUUAGGUGUAAGUGUACAUAUGUGUGUACGUGCAUGACAUGGAAUACAUGUGGAGGUCAGAGGACAGCCUGUGGGAGUUGGUUCUCUCCUUCCACCAUGUGGGCAGCAGGUUCCAAACUCAGAGAAUCAGGCUUGGUGGCUUGCACCUUUACUAUCCGAUCCACCUCACCAGUCCCUGUGGACAUACUUCUACUAGUUUGAAUCUUGCAUUGUGCCCACCAGGGCUCCGAG
RNAcentral lists this long non-coding RNA (848 nucleotides) under Rattus norvegicus (Norway rat). RNAcentral's name for it is "long non-coding RNA NONRATT001134". Lineage: Eukaryota; Metazoa; Chordata; Mammalia; Rodentia; Muridae. The record is from RNAcentral.